GUCCAGACUCCUACGGGAGGCAGCAGUGGGGAAUAUUGCACAAUGGGGGGAACCCUGAUGCAGCAACGCCGCGUGGGUGAAGAAGUACUUCGGUAUGUAAAGCCCUGUCAGCAGGGAAGAAAAUGACGGUACCUGACCAAGAAGCCCCGGCUAACUACGUGCCAGCAGCCGCGGGAAUACGUAGGGGGCAAGCGUUAUCCGGAUUUACUGGGUGUAAAGGGAGCGUAGACGGCAAGGCAAGUCUGGAGUGAAAGCCCGUGGCUCAACCACGGGACUGCUUUGGAAACUGUGUUGCUGGAGUGCAGGAGGGGUAAGCGGAAUUCCUAGUGUAGCGGUGAAAUGCGUAGAUAUUAGGAGGAACACCAGUGGCGAAGGCGGCUUGCUGGACAGUAACUGACGUUGAGGCUCGAAAGCGUGGGGAGCAAACAGGAUUAGAUCCCCCGGUA
Molecule: ribosomal RNA, 446 nt
Filed under: uncultured bacterium
Lineage: Bacteria
Description: bacterial SSU rRNA
Rfam family: Bacterial small subunit ribosomal RNA
Source: RNAcentral